CGCCGCCCCCGCCCGCCUACGGGAGGCAGCAGUGGGGAAUUUUCCGCAAUGGGCGAAAGCCUGACGGAGCCAGACCGCGUGGGGGACGAAGGCUCUUGGGUUGUAAACCCCUUUUCUCAGGGAAGAAAAAAAUGACGGUACCUGAGGAAUAAGCAUCGGCUAACUCCGUGCCAGCAGCCGCGGUAAGACGGAGGAUGCAAGCGUUAUCCGGAAUGAUUGGGCGUAAAGCGUCCGCAGGUGGCCCUUCAAGUCUGCUGUCAAAGAGCAAGGCUCAACCUUGUCAAGGCAGUGGAAACUGAAAGGCUAGAGUGUGGUAGGGGUAGAGGGAAUUCCCAGUGUAGCGGUGAAAUGCGUAGAGAUUGGGAAGAACACCGGUGGCGAAAGCGCUCUACUGGGCCUGCACUGUCACUGAGGGACGAAAGCUAGGGGAGCGAAUGGGAUUAGAUACCCCAGUAGUCCUAGCCGUAAACGAUGGAAACUAGGUGUGGCCUGUAUCGACCCGGGCCGUGCCGUAGCUAACGCGUUAAGUUUCCCGCCUGGGGAGUACGCACGCAAGUGUGAAACUCAAAGGAAUUGACGGA
RNAcentral lists this ribosomal RNA (581 nucleotides) under uncultured bacterium. RNAcentral's name for it is "bacterial SSU rRNA". It matches the Rfam family "Bacterial small subunit ribosomal RNA", at positions 322 to 917 of the family's 1533-position model. The record is from RNAcentral.